This 349-nucleotide unclassified non-coding RNA is filed under the name soil metagenome. RNAcentral's name for it is "partial contains 5.8S ribosomal RNA, internal transcribed spacer 2, and large subunit ribosomal RNA". The stretch from base 1 to 120 matches the Rfam family "5.8S ribosomal RNA", at positions 35 to 154 of the family's 154-position model. The record is from RNAcentral.
GAUGAAGAACGUAGCGAAAUGCGAUAAGUAAUGUGAAUUGCAGAAUUCAGUGAAUCAUCGAAUCUUUGAACGCACAUUGCGCCCGCCAGCACUCUGGCGGGCAUGCCUGUCCGAGCGUCAUUUCAACCCUCAGGGCCCCUUCGGGGGACCUGGCGUUGGGGAUCGGCCCGCCCCCGUGCGGCGCCGUCCCCGAAAUAUAGUGGCGGUCUCGCUGCAGCCUCCCUUGCGUAGUAGCACACCUCGCACUGGAGAGCGGCGCGGCCACGCCGUGAAACCCCCAACUUCUGAAUGUUGACCUCGGAUCAGGUAGGAAUACCCGCUGAACUUAAGCAUAUCAAUAAGCGGAGGA